RNAcentral lists this ribosomal RNA (468 nucleotides) under uncultured Treponema sp. Its description in RNAcentral is "bacterial SSU rRNA". It matches the Rfam family "Bacterial small subunit ribosomal RNA", at positions 337 to 798 of the family's 1533-position model. Lineage: Bacteria; Pseudomonadati; Spirochaetota; Spirochaetia; Treponematales; Treponemataceae. The record is from RNAcentral.
UCCUACGGGUGGCAGCAGCUAAGAAUAUUCCGCAAUGGACGAAAGUCUGACGGAGCGACGCCGCGUGGAUGAUGAAGGCCGAAAGGUUGUAAAGUCCUUUUGCUGGGGAAGAAUAACCAUGGGAGGGAAUGCCCGUGGGAUGACAUGAACCGGCGAAUAAGCCCCGGCUAACUACGUGCCAGCAGCCGCGGUAACACGUAGGGGGCGAGCGUUGUUCGGAAUUACUGGGCGUAAAGGGGAUGUAGGCGGCUUGGUAAGCCUGGCGUGAAAGUCGUCGGCUCAACCGGUGGAUUGCGUUGGGAACUGCCGGGCUUGAAUCACGGAGAGGGAGCUAGAAUUCCAGGUGUAGGGGUGAAAUCUGUAGAGAUCUGGAAGAAUACCAGUGGCGAAGGCGAGCUCCUGGCCGAUGAUUGACGCUGAGGUGCGAAAGUGUGGGGAUCAAACAGGAUUAGAUACCCCGGUAGUCAC